Non-coding RNA from Ornithorhynchus anatinus (platypus), 137 nucleotides. The record is from Rfam. Lineage: Eukaryota; Metazoa; Chordata; Mammalia; Monotremata; Ornithorhynchidae.
ACCCUCUCAGGAUCACACCUGGAGAGUUUCCAAUACUCUACCAGUCUCGGCUAUGGGAGGAAGAGUCAAGCAGAAACCUACCCAUUCCAUUUCUACCUUGAUAGUGGCUAGAGAGUGGAAAGGAAUCUGCUACAAGU